GACGAGUGGCGGACGGGUGAGUAAUGUCUGGGAAACUGCCUGAUGGAGGGGGAUAACUACUGGAAACGGUAGCUAAUACCGCAUAACGUCGCAAGACCAAAGAGGGGGACCUUCGGGCCUCUUGCCAUCGGAUGUGCCCAGAUGGGAUUAGCUAGUAGGUGGGGUAACGGCUCACCUAGGCGACGAUCCCUAGCUGGUCUGAGAGGAUGACCAGCCACACUGGAACUGAGACACGGUCCAGACUCCUACGGGAGGCAGCAGUGGGGAAUAUUGCACAAUGGGCGCAAGCCUGAUGCAGCCAUGCCGCGUGUAUGAAGAAGGCCUUCGGGUUGUAAAGUACUUUCAGCGGGGAGGAAGGGAGUAAAGUUAAUACCUUUGCUCAUUGACGUUACCCGCAGAAGAAGCACCGGCUAACUCCGUGCCAGCAGCCGCGGUAAUACGGAGGGUGCAAGCGUUAAUCGGAAUUACUGGGCGUAAAGCGCACGCAGGCGGUUUGUUAAGUCAGA
This 506-nucleotide ribosomal RNA is filed under the name Escherichia coli. RNAcentral's name for it is "bacterial SSU rRNA". It matches the Rfam family "Bacterial small subunit ribosomal RNA", at positions 90 to 592 of the family's 1533-position model. The record is from RNAcentral. Lineage: Bacteria; Pseudomonadati; Pseudomonadota; Gammaproteobacteria; Enterobacterales; Enterobacteriaceae.